GGGAUGGCUCAGUGGUUAAGAGCACUGGUUUCUCUUCCAGAGAACCUGGAUUCCAUUCCCAGUACCCA
This 68-nucleotide transfer RNA is filed under the name Mus musculus (house mouse). It matches the Rfam family "tRNA". From Rfam's summary of the family: Transfer RNA (tRNA) molecules are approximately 80 nucleotides in length. Their secondary structure includes four short double-helical elements and three loops (D, anti-codon, and T loops). The record is from Rfam by way of RNAcentral. Lineage: Eukaryota; Metazoa; Chordata; Mammalia; Rodentia; Muridae. RNAcentral also lists the same sequence under 1 other name.